RNAcentral lists this ribosomal RNA (123 nucleotides) under Canis lupus familiaris (dog). RNAcentral also lists the same sequence under 1 other name. The record is from RNAcentral. Lineage: Eukaryota; Metazoa; Chordata; Mammalia; Carnivora; Canidae.
GUCUACGGCCAUACCACCCUGAACGCGCCCGAUCUCGUCUGAUCUCGGAAGCUAAGCAGGGUCGGGCCUGGUUAGUACUUGGAUGGGAGAAUCGCAGGAGAGGGUCAUUAAUAGUUGAGAACU